Molecule: unclassified non-coding RNA, 19 nt
Filed under: Chlamydomonas reinhardtii
Lineage: Eukaryota; Viridiplantae; Chlorophyta; Chlorophyceae; Chlamydomonadales; Chlamydomonadaceae
Description: small RNA Cre_2100
Source: RNAcentral
GUUGUAGACCGGCCCGACC